Molecule: ribosomal RNA, 301 nt
Filed under: uncultured bacterium
Lineage: Bacteria
Description: partial 16S ribosomal RNA
Rfam family: Bacterial small subunit ribosomal RNA
Source: RNAcentral
CAGUCGCCGCGGGAAUACGGAGGGUGCAAGCGUUAAUCGGAAUUACUGGGCGUAAAGCGCACGCAGGCGGUCUGACAAGUCAGAUGUGAAAUCCCCGGGCUUAACCUGGGAACUGCAUUUGAAACUGUCAGGCUGGAGUCUUGUAGAGGGGGGUAGAAUUCCAGGUGUAGCGGUGUAAUGCGUAGAGAUCUGGAGGAAUACCGGUGGCGAAGGCGGCCCCCUGGACAAAGACUGACGCUCAGGUGCGAAAGCGUGGGGAGCAAACAGGAUUAGAUACCCCUGUAGUCCCUGUCUCUUAUAC